This is a long non-coding RNA of Mustela erminea (ermine), 1548 nucleotides long. RefSeq lists it as uncharacterized. The transcript has 5 exons. The record is from RefSeq and is a predicted model, not a curated record. NCBI's taxonomy places the organism in Eukaryota, Metazoa, Chordata, Mammalia, Carnivora, Mustelidae.
GCGUUCGGAGAGGAUAAGGUGAUGUGAGGUGAUCUGGGUCCCGGGGAAAGAUCUAGUCCCUCUAGCCCCCGGGGUCGCCACCAGUGGGAGUAAGUGUACAAGAGGAUAAAAAGCCCAAAGUAACCCCAAUUAGGUUUCAGUCAGAAUAGGACAGCGUCUCGCCGGUGUUCUCGUCGCCCACCGUGUCCAGCCUGGAGGCAGAGGUAGGACAGCACCGACUAAUGAAGUGUCUGUUCUAGAGCAAUGUGGUGACGAAUGUUCUGGGACAACUUGGAUGGGUUGUGGUGCCCAGUUCUGAGGGCAGUCGCCAGGGAGGCGCUGCUAUAGGGGUUUCCUCAGACGUGGUCCCCAUGGAGACGAGCACACGUUAAGUGAAGCCGGGACCUUCCGGAAUGCGGGUACACGUCCUCCGAGCCUCCGCAAGGCUCAGGAGAAAAACUGAGGUCCGGGUGCCCUGAUGAGAAACUGUUCUGCCUCCAGAUGGUCUUCAGACUCAAGACCAUCCGCUCUUCCGUGGGUCUGCAGACUGCCUGCCCGCCUUGCAGAUUUGGGACUGGCCAGCCCCCACAAGCACGUGAGUAUAUAAAUAGGCAGUGUGCAUCCUAUUGGGUCUAUUUCUGUGGAAAACCCUGAGUGAUACAGUGGGUAAGUCUAAAGGGGCACCCUGAGCCCGCAUUGCCGGCACGUCCUGCGCAGCAGUUCCUGGAUAGAGACCUGCAGCACCUCCGAAACAGGGAGUCCGGCGGACGGGGCUGCGGAAGACAGGCGCUUUGCGACCAGAAAUGAAAACUAUACAAAACCAGGCUUGGCUGAUGUAUGUGAAGACAGAGUGAAUAAAACACAGAACGAUGUAUCUAUCUGCUUGUUUCUGGGAACUUGAUGAAGUCCCCAACAGAGAUGAGCCUUCAGUCCUGGGAAGGAGAUCCAAAUGUCCCAUCCAACAGUACCUCACAAUGGCGUGUAAAACUGAGCAGGAACUCAACAGAUCUCCAGAGGAAGAAAAAAAAACUCAAAGUGGCUCAGUUUCUGAUGAAGUUUCCAGGGAGACUUUCCUUGUCCCCCACCCCAACCACCACCACCACCACCACCACCAAAGCUGAAUCUAACCGGGUAGUAGGGACAAUGAAGAAGAGUUUUUCAUCAAGGAUAACCAGGAAACAAGGAUGGGCGAAAUGAAGAGACCAUGAUUUCUUCUGCUGCUCACCACCGUCUUUCAACCUGAGCUAUUUUUAUGGUCCCUAAAGGCAGAGGCCUACAGAGGGAUCUAAAGCAGAACCUUGAUGCCAGAAUGCCCUACAGAAAUAAACAAGACUCCAACAGACACAGCAAUGCCUAGCAGCUCCCCUGAAAAGCAAAUUUGUUUGUGAGCUAUGCGACACAUCUCUGAAGACUUCUAAAACCCAGAGGGACUUUUCAAGGGAUCAAAGUGCUGGAUCCAUCCGUGGGCAUACUGAGCUAGCAACACCGGAGCACUGAUGUCAAUUUCACUUCACUUUCCAUAAUAAACUGGUAAAGUCUGGGGAAAUUUGGAUUUAUAUGUAACCAUGA